UGGGGAAUAUUGCACAAUGGGCGAAAGCCUGAUGCAGCGACGCCGCGUGAGGGAUGACGGCCUUCGGGUUGUAAACCUCUUUCAGCAGGGAAGAAGCGAAAGUGACGGUACCUGCAGAAGAAGCGCCGGCUAACUACGUGCCAGCAGCCGCGGUAAUACGUAGGGCGCGAGCGUUGUCCGGAAUUAUUGGGCGUAAAGAGCUCGUAGGCGGCUUGUCGCGUCGGUUGUGAAAGCCCGGGGCUUAACCCCGGGUCUGCAGUCGAUACGGGCAGGCUAGAGUUCGGUAGGGGAGAUCGGAAUUCCUGGUGUAGCGGUGAAAUGCGCAGAUAUCAGGAGGAACACCGGUGGCGAAGGCGGAUCUCUGGGCCGAUACUGACGCUGAGGAGCGAAAGCGUGGGGAGCGAACAGG
RNAcentral lists this ribosomal RNA (409 nucleotides) under Bacillota bacterium. RNAcentral's name for it is "Firmicutes bacterium partial 16S ribosomal RNA". It matches the Rfam family "Bacterial small subunit ribosomal RNA", at positions 355 to 776 of the family's 1533-position model. The record is from RNAcentral. RNAcentral also lists the same sequence under 1 other name. Lineage: Bacteria; Bacillati; Bacillota.